This 349-nucleotide unclassified non-coding RNA is filed under the name soil metagenome. Its description in RNAcentral is "partial contains 5.8S ribosomal RNA, internal transcribed spacer 2, and large subunit ribosomal RNA". The stretch from base 1 to 120 matches the Rfam family "5.8S ribosomal RNA", at positions 35 to 154 of the family's 154-position model. The record is from RNAcentral.
GAUGAAGAACGUAGCGAAAUGCGAUAAGUAAUGUGAAUUGCAGAAUUCAGUGAAUCAUCGAAUCUUUGAACGCACAUUGCGCCCGGCAGUAAUCUGCCGGGCAUGCCUGUCCGAGCGUCAUUUCACCCCUCGAGCCGCUUUUAGUGGGUCGGUGUUGGGGCACUACGGUAAAACGUAGGCCCUGAAAUGAAGUGGCGGUCCCGCCGCGGUGCCCCCAUGCGUAGUAACGUUUAGUCUCGCAUCGGGUCCCGGCGGAGGCCUGCCGUCAAGCCUAUUUAUUCUCAGAAUAGUUUGACCUCGGAUCAGGUAGGGUUACCCGCUGAACUUAAGCAUAUCAAUAAGCGGAGGA